CACGUAGGGUGCGAGCGUUGUCCGGAAUUAUUGGGCGUAAAGAGCUCGUAGGCGGUGUGUCGCGUCGGCCGUGAAAACCUGCAGCUAACUGUGGGCUUGCGGUCGAUACGGGCAUCGACUGGAGUUCGGCAGGGGAGACUGGAAUCCUGGUGUUAGCGGUGAAAUGCGUAGAUAAUCUGGAGGAACACCGGUGGCGAAGGCGAGCAAUCC
RNAcentral lists this ribosomal RNA (210 nucleotides) under uncultured bacterium. RNAcentral's name for it is "partial 16S ribosomal RNA". It matches the Rfam family "Bacterial small subunit ribosomal RNA", at positions 524 to 730 of the family's 1533-position model. The record is from RNAcentral.